Molecule: non-coding RNA, 156 nt
Filed under: Candidatus Omnitrophota bacterium
Lineage: Bacteria; Pseudomonadati; Candidatus Omnitrophota
Description: 6S RNA
Rfam family: 6S / SsrS RNA
About the family: E. coli 6S RNA was the first non coding RNA to be sequenced, but its function was unknown until recently.
Source: RNAcentral
AGAUCCCUGCUGUGUUUGUUAGUAGUCUAAAUAUAAUGAACCUUAACAUGUAUAUCGGGAAGCUAAGCUUCUGAAAUAUCCGUGGAUAUUUCAGAGACGUACCCACUUGGGAACAGGUUCUCCUUAUACUAGGCUCGACGGCACCGCGGGGAUUUU